This 978-nucleotide long non-coding RNA is filed under the name Mus musculus (house mouse). RNAcentral's name for it is "long non-coding RNA chr1:131638310-131639288". Lineage: Eukaryota; Metazoa; Chordata; Mammalia; Rodentia; Muridae. The record is from RNAcentral.
UCACAACUUCAUUUGUUCCUCAGAACUGCAGAUGCCCUGUGUGACUCCAGAAGCGGUUAGAAAGAUCAGGCGUGGUUAUCUCCAUUUGCAGCUGAGGUGGCCAAGAGAUAAGAGUUGCUUAAAGUCGGAGUUAGCAAACAACAAAACGGGGUUUCCACACAGAGCUCAGCUUCGGAGCCCAACCCAUCCACUUACUACAAGAAAACGAAAUUCUUGACAUUUUGGGUUAUAUCCGGUAACUUCAAAGGUAAGUGGUUUAUAAUCUUGUUACAAAUUUUUCUGGGAAAUGACAAUCUCAUGCUUUAGUUAACAAAAAUCCAUUUAUUAUGAUAAUUUCCUCACAGGUAAAAGUGAGCACCUCCUAAGAAGGCUGCCAUUUGCUUGGUUUGUAAGAUUGAUUUUCCUACGGGGAGCUUUGCGUAGGACUUUGAAGUUUUUGUUUUAUUUGCUUGGUUGAUUUUUUGAGACAUGGUCUCACUAGGUAGGUCAAGCUGCCCUCCACUCUUUAUUUAGAUGGUUUUAAAAUCCCUACUACUAUUUGUGUACUGAUGAAAUCGGAGGUUUUGCAAUAGAAGUCAUAUUGUCUGAACGGUGCCUUUCAGUUCCUGAUUUAACUCUCUCUCUCUCUCUCUCUCUCUCUCUCUCUCUCUCUGUGUGUGUGUGUGUGUGUGUGUGUGUAAGACUUUUAUUAUGGCAUGACUUACUGUCAUUAAUGUUUAUAUAAUGUUCUACAUCUGCAUGUUAUUUCUAAAUUAGAGUGUACUGUACAUGAGCUGCUAAUUGCAUUAUAGCUGUUAAUAAUGCGUUGCUAAAGGAAAUUUCUUCAGGACAAAGAUAACUGCUGAUCCAGGUGUGGAGCUACACACCUUUGAUUCCAGCACUUGGGAGGCAGAGGCAGGUGGAUCUCUGUGAGUUCAAGACCACCCUGGUCUACAUAUCGAGUUCCAGGCUCGUCAGAACACAGUGAGGCACUCUCUU